UGGGGAAUAUUGCACAAUGGGCGCAAGCCUGAUGCAGCCAUGCCGCGUGUAUGAAGAAGGCCUUCGGGUUGUAAAGUACUUUCAGCGAGGAGGAAGGCGGUAAGGUUAAUAACCUUAUCGAUUGACGUUACUCGCAGAAGAAGCACCGGCUAACUCCGUGCCAGCAGCCGCGGUAAUACGGAGGGUGCAAGCGUUAAUCGGAAUUACUGGGCGUAAAGCGCACGCAGGCGGUCUGUCAAGUCGGAUGUGAAAUCCCCGGGCUCAACCUGGGAACUGCAUUCGAAACUGGCAGGCUAGAGGCUUGUAGAGGGGGGUAGAAUUCCAGGUGUAGCGGUGAAAUGCGUAGAGAUCUGGAGGAAUACCGGUGGCGAAGGCGGCCCCCUGGACAAAGACUGACGCUCAGGUGCGAAAGCGUGGGGAGCAAACA
RNAcentral lists this ribosomal RNA (427 nucleotides) under uncultured bacterium. Its description in RNAcentral is "partial 16S ribosomal RNA". It matches the Rfam family "Bacterial small subunit ribosomal RNA", at positions 355 to 774 of the family's 1533-position model. The record is from RNAcentral.